GAGUUUGAUCCUGGCUCAGGACGAACGCUGGCGGCGUGCUUAACACAUGCAAGUCGAACGAAUGAACUUCAACGGAUUUCCNUCGGAAUGAAACUGAAAUGAUUUAGUGGCGAACGGGUGAGUAACACGUGGGAAACCUGCCUAUCACAAAGGGAUAGCCUCCGGAAACGGUGAUUAAUACCUUAUGACAUCAUAGUAUCGCAUGAUACCUUGAUUAAAGAUUUAUCGGUGAUAGAUGGUCCUGCGGCUGAUUAGCUAGUUGGUAGGAUAACAGCCUACCAAGGCAACGAUCAGUAACCGGCCUGAGAGGGUGAACGGUCACACUGGAACUGAGACACGGUCCAGACUCCUACGGGAGGCAGCAGUGGGGAAUUUUGCACAAUGGGGGAAACCCUGAUGCAGCGACGUCGCGUGAACGAUGAAGGCCUUCGGGUUGUAAAGUUCUGUCCUUGGCGAAGAUAAUGACAGUAGCCAAGAAGCAAGCUCCGGCUAAAUACGUGCCAGCAGCCGCGGUAAUACGUAUGGAGCGAGCGUUGUCCGGAAUUAUUGGGCGUAAAGGGUACGUAGGCGGUUUUGUGGGUCUACAUUAAAAGGCAUUGGCUCAACCAAUGUUCGGUGUAGAAACUAUAAAACUUGAGUAGAUGAGGGGUAAGUGGAAUUCCUAGUGUAGCGGUGAAAUGCUUAGAUAUUAGGAGGAAUACCAGUGGCGAAGGCGACUUACUGGAAUCUAACUGACGCUGAGGUACGAAAGCGUGGGGAGCAAACAGGAUUAGAUACCCUGGUAGUCCACGCUGUAAACGAUGAGUGCUAGGUGUCGGGAGUCAAAUCUCGGCGCCGCCGCUAACGCAUUAAGCACUCCGCCUGGGGAGUACGUACGCAAGUAUGAAACUCAAAGGAAUUGACGGGGACCCGCACAAGCAGCGGAGCAUGUGGUUUAAUUCGAAGCAACGCGAAGAACCUUACCAGGGCUUGACAUAUACAUGAAAGUGCUAGAGAUAGCAUCCUCUCUUCGGAGACGUGUAUACAGGUGGUGCAUGGUUGUCGUCAGCUCGUGUCGUGAGAUGUUGGGUUAAGUCCCGUAACGAGCGCAACCCCUAUUUCUAGUUACCAUCAGUUCGGCUGGGGACUCUAGAGAGACUGCCGGUGAUAAACCGGAGGAAGGUGGGGAUGACGUCAAAUCAUCAUGCCCUUUAUGUCCUGGGCUACACACGUGCUACAAUGGUCUGAACAAAGUGCAGCGAGCUCGCGAGAGUCAGCGAAUCACAGAAAACAGAUCUCAGUUCGGAUUGUAGGCUGCAACUCGCCUACAUGAAGCCGGAGUUGCUAGUAAUCGUGAAUCAGAAUGUCACGGUGAAUGCGUUCCCGGGUUCUUGUACACACCGCCCGUCAAGGGCGAUUCGCGCCGCUAAUUCAUCGCCCUAUAGGAGUCAUCAGUGGGCC
Molecule: ribosomal RNA, 1440 nt
Filed under: uncultured bacterium
Lineage: Bacteria
Description: bacterial SSU rRNA
Rfam family: Bacterial small subunit ribosomal RNA
Source: RNAcentral